GUAGAGGCCCUUUAAAAAACAGUCGAAGAGGAAGAAGAAGAAGAAGAAGAAGAAUGCACGAGCGCACACGUUCCCCAGAUGCGGGCAUUGGUUGCUGCGAAAAAAAGACUAAUAAAUUUCUAAAUUUAAAUGUACACAGAAAAACAAAUUAUUUUUAUUCAAUUGAAACAAAGGAAUUUUUAUAUUUCUUAAACUUGGGAAAUAAAAAUUGUCCUGUAUGGUUUGUAAUGGGAAAAAUUAAUUAUAUAAAUUUUUUAGAACUCAUUUCUUAUGCUUUUCCCAAUCGACCGUUUUUCUUUCAUCUCAUAGAGGAAUAAUUAGCUGAAUGGGGAAUAAGAGAGAGAGAGACUAUUUUUUUUUUAAUUGUAAAGGGGGUUUAAGAAGAAUAAUUACUGUAAUUAGGAACUGAGUCUUGCAUAUAUAAUUUGCAGACAAAACGAAAAGUGUAAUUUUAAGUUUCGAGUAUAGUAGGUACGGAAAAAGAUAAUACCAAAUAAAAAUUUGAAUGUAACUUUUAAAAAACACUAUCAAAAUUAAUUAUUAAUAAAAUGCGAAUAAAACAAAAGAAUUUAUUUGAAUUUUUUUAAGAUAGAAAAAUUUUCUUUUUCUCUUAAUUAGCUUUCGACCUUAAGCGGUUAGAAAAUGCAAUUCAUUUUAAACACAAAAGAUCUCGGGAAAUAGGAAUUUAUUUUGUGACUACCUACCUAACAGGUGCAGGGGAAAGAUGGAAGAAUAAAUAUAAUCGUGACGGUUGGUUGGGAUCGACACCUGUUUGGGAUGCAUGUACCUGCCACGCGACUUGAAUGCAUAAUAUUUGGCUAUUUAAAGAAAAAGAAAAAAAAAAGAAAAGAAAAGAAUUGUAUAAUCUUUGAGACAGCAAAAGGACGAUGACACGAACUUAUAUAUGAAUACUGAUAUCAUGGAAUACGUAAUUCUGUUAUUAAAUAAUCAAUAUUCACGUAUAACCAAAGUAACUUCCAUUUAUCGACUUUGAGAGUUUAUUUCUCUACACAUUUUCCGAUAUUUGUUAAUAUUGCAAUUCGAGUAGCAUUGAAUAUAAUUUGAAAUUUUCCACAUUAUAUUACGAAAUUUUAUUUUAAUUAUUUUCAUAUAUAUUUUCAAUUGUGAUGAUUAAAUAAAAUUAGUUUUUUUUUUGGACUUAUGUAACUUUUAUGAAAAGUAAAUUUGAUUUGUAUUCGAUUUUCACCGAACAGCAAAAGUCUCAGGGGGAUUCUCCUCAUUUUUCAAUAGAUAUUCUGUAAACUUUUAUUGAAUCAUUAUUUAAGAAAAUAGUUGAACAUACUUGUAGACAUAGAAGAAUAUUUGCGAAUUUUCCUUUAAAAUAUUUUAAUAAAUUGUGAAAUUAAAAUAUUUAAAAGUUAAUAUUUACGGGAUCGAUAAAUAGUGAAUAUAAAACUAAAUAUUGACUAAAUGAAUUUACAAAUAUAUAAAUUGUUCUGCAGUUCAUGUGCUAUUUAUUAUUUUAUCAAUAGUUCAUUAUUAUGCUUUCCGAUAUCGAACAAAAAGCUAUAGUCGACUAGCAGAACUUUAACAUUCAAAAGUGAAUAUUUUACGACGUUUGUAUCGAUUUCAGCCAUGAAUUGUGAAAAACUGUAUCCACAGACUUUAAAUAUUCUUCAUAUAACUUUUAAAAUUAAUUUAACUCUACAUUUCGUAGUCUUUUUAUGUAAAAAAAAAAAAAAUUUCCCUUCAAUUAAUUUUCUAUUUUUCAAUCAUUAAUUUUUAUGUUAGGUAUUAAAAAAAUGAAUAUAUAGAUGAUACUUACAUAAUUUGUUGAUUUUUGUCUGAAAUCUGUAAGAAUUAUAAACAAAAAACGGAUAGAAAUAAAAAACUAAAACGGCCUUACCAAAUCGCCAUAACCUCAA
Long non-coding RNA from Leptopilina boulardi, 1886 nucleotides. RefSeq lists it as uncharacterized. The transcript is spliced from 2 exons. The record is from RefSeq and is a predicted model, not a curated record. NCBI's taxonomy places the organism in Eukaryota, Metazoa, Arthropoda, Insecta, Hymenoptera, Figitidae.